AACGCACCUUGCGCCCUUUGGUAAUCCGAGGGGCAUGCCUGUUUGAGUGUCUUGAAGCCCUCAAGCCCGAAGUCCUCCUUUGUUGGGGGUACGUCGAGGCUUGGAUUUGGACUUUUGCCGGUCGCGUCGCGCGGUCGGCUGGUCUUGAAAGCAUUAGCUGGCUGCUGAGGUUGGCGAACCGGUGUGAUAAAGUCACUCGCCGGGGAAGCGACCUUGUUUGGCGGCUGCUUCGAACCGUCUCGUCGAGGGACAGUGUACUUUAAGUGUUUGACCUCAAAUCAGGUAGGACUACCCGCUGAACUUAA
RNAcentral lists this ribosomal RNA (305 nucleotides) under uncultured fungus. Its description in RNAcentral is "eukaryotic LSU rRNA". The stretch from base 1 to 52 matches the Rfam family "5.8S ribosomal RNA", at positions 103 to 154 of the family's 154-position model. Lineage: Eukaryota; Fungi. The record is from RNAcentral.